GACGAACGCUGGCGGCGCGCCUAACACAUGCAAGUCGAACGAGCGAGAGAGAGCUUGCUUUCUCGAGCGAGUGGCGAACGGGUGAGUAACGCGUGAGGAACCUGCCUCAAAGAGGGGGACAACAGUUGGAAACGACUGCUAAUACCGCAUGACGCUUCUUAGGGGCAUCCCUGAGAAGUCAAAGCUUUAUGUGCUGAAAGAUGGCCUCGCGUCUGAUUAGCUAGUUGGUGGGGUAACGGCCCACCAAGGCGACGAUCAGUAGCCGGUCUGAGAGGAUGAACGGCCACAUUGGGACUGAGAUACGGCCCAG
This 310-nucleotide ribosomal RNA is filed under the name uncultured bacterium. RNAcentral's name for it is "bacterial SSU rRNA". It matches the Rfam family "Bacterial small subunit ribosomal RNA", at positions 28 to 334 of the family's 1533-position model. The record is from RNAcentral.